GCUCCUUCGGGAGCACCGGCGGACGGCUCAGUAACACGUGGACAACCUACCCUCGGGUGGGGGAUAACCUCGGGAAACUGAGGCUAAUACCCCAUAGGCCUCGGGUACUGGAAGGUCCCGAGGCUGAAAGCUCCGGCGCCCGAGGAUGGGUCUGCGGCCUAUCAGGUAGUUGGUGGUGUAAAGGACCACCAAGCCUACGACGGGUACGGGCCCUGAGAGGGGGAGCCCGGAGAUGGACUCUGAGACACGAGUCCAGGCCCUACGGGGCGCAGCAGGCGCGAAACCUUCGCAAUGCGCGAAAGCGCGACGAGGGGAGCCCGAGUGCCCUUCCUUCGGGGAGGGCUUUUCUGGAGCCUAAAAAGCUCCAGGAAUAAGGGCUGGGCAAGACGGGUGCCAGCCGCCGCGGUAAUACCCGCAGCUCGAGUGGUGGCCACUAUUAUUGAGCCUAAAGCGUCCGUAGCCGGACCCGUAAAUCCCUGGGUAAAUCCCGGCGCUUAACGUCGGGAAUUCCGGGGAGACUGCGGGUCUUGGGACCGGGAGAGGCCGGAGGUACUCCCGGGGUAGCGGUGAAAU
RNAcentral lists this ribosomal RNA (573 nucleotides) under uncultured Thermoplasmatales archaeon. RNAcentral's name for it is "bacterial SSU rRNA". It matches the Rfam family "Archaeal small subunit ribosomal RNA", at positions 64 to 638 of the family's 1478-position model. Lineage: Archaea; Methanobacteriati; Thermoplasmatota; Thermoplasmata; Thermoplasmatales. The record is from RNAcentral.